GAAUGGGUGCGUAACACGUAGGUGACCUACCCUGAAGUGGGGAAUAACAGUUCGAAAGGACUGCUAAUACCGCAUGUGGUCCUGUUAGGUAAAGCUUCGCUUCAGGAGGGGCCUGCGGUCCAUCAGCUAGUUGGUAGGGUAAUGGCCUACCAAGGCUACUACGGAUAAGGGACCUGAGAGGGUGGCCCCCACAUUGACACUGACACACGGGCCAGACUCCUACGGGAGGCAGCCGUCGGGAAUAUUGCACAAUGAGCGAAAGCUUGAUGCAGCAACGCCGCGUGCGCGAUGAAGGUCUUCGGAUCGUAAAGCGCUUUUCGGGGGGAUGAGGGACAGUACCCCCGGAAUAAGUCACGGCUAACUACGCGCCAGCAGACGCGGUAAAACGUAGGUGGCGAGCGUUAUCCGG
This 409-nucleotide ribosomal RNA is filed under the name uncultured soil bacterium. RNAcentral describes it as "bacterial SSU rRNA". It matches the Rfam family "Bacterial small subunit ribosomal RNA", at positions 100 to 548 of the family's 1533-position model. The record is from RNAcentral.